This 468-nucleotide ribosomal RNA is filed under the name uncultured bacterium. RNAcentral's name for it is "bacterial SSU rRNA". It matches the Rfam family "Bacterial small subunit ribosomal RNA", at positions 28 to 482 of the family's 1533-position model. The record is from RNAcentral.
GAUGAACGCUAGCUACAGGCUUAACACAUGCAAGUCGCGGGGUAACAUCUGGUAGAGCUUGCUCUUCCAGGAUGACGACCGGCGCACGGGUGAGUAACGCGUAUCCAACCUGGCCCAUACCACGGGAUAGCCCGUCGAAAGGCGGAUUAAUACCGUAUGCUGUCAUUAAGAGGCAUUUUUUGAUGACGAAAGGAUUGGCGGUAUGGGAUGGGGAUGCGUCUGAUUAGCUUGUUGGCGGGGUAACGGCCCACCAAGGCGACGAUCAGUAGGGGUUCUGAGAGGAAGGUCCCCCACAUUGGAACUGAGACACGGUCCAAACUCCUACGGGAGGCAGCAGUGAGGAAUAUUGGUCAAUGGGCGAGAGCCUGAACCAGCCAAGUAGCGUGCAGGACGACGGCCCUAUGGGUUGUAAACUGCUUUUAUAAGGGAAUAAAGUGAGUCUCGUGAGACUUUUUGUCAUGUACCUUA